This 330-nucleotide ribosomal RNA is filed under the name uncultured bacterium. RNAcentral describes it as "bacterial SSU rRNA". It matches the Rfam family "Bacterial small subunit ribosomal RNA", at positions 568 to 898 of the family's 1533-position model. The record is from RNAcentral.
UCCGUAGGCGGUGUGGCAAGUCGGAAGUGAAAUCUCUGGGCUUAACUCAGAGGCUGCUUCCGAAACUGCCGUGCUAGAGUGCGAGAGAGGCAAGUGGAAUUGCGGGUGUAGCGGUGAAAUGCGUAGAUAUCCGCAGGAACAUCCGAGGCGAAAGCGGCUUGCUGGAUCGCAACUGACGCUGAGGGACGAAAGCUAGGGGAGCAAACAGGAUUAAAUACCCUGGUAGUCCUAGCCCUAAACCAUCAGGACUUGGGGUUUGCCCUGUACGGGGCAAGUCCCGUAGCUAACGCGUUAAGUCCUGCGCCUGGGGAGUACGGUCGCAAGGCUGAA